RNAcentral lists this transfer RNA (65 nucleotides) under Aleocharinae sp. 6 EF-2015. RNAcentral's name for it is "tRNA-Ile". Lineage: Eukaryota; Metazoa; Arthropoda; Insecta; Coleoptera; Staphylinidae. The record is from RNAcentral.
AAUAGAGUGCCUGAUAAAAAGGGUUAUUUUGAUAGAAUAAAACAUGUAAAAUUUUACCUCUAUUA